UACGUAGGGGGCAAGCGUUGCCCGGAUUUAUUGGGCGUAAAGAGCGUGUAGGCGGCUUUACAGGUCCGUUGUGAAAACUCGAGGCUCAACCUCGAGACGCCGGUGGAAACCGUAAGGCUAGAGUCCGGAAGAGGAGAGUGGAAUUCCUGGUGUAGCGGUGAAAUGCGCAGAUAUCAGGAGGAACACCCGUGGCGAAAGCGGCUCUCUGGGACGGUACUGACGCUGAGACGCGAAAGCGUGGGGAGCAAACAGG
Molecule: ribosomal RNA, 253 nt
Filed under: uncultured bacterium
Lineage: Bacteria
Description: partial 16S ribosomal RNA
Rfam family: Bacterial small subunit ribosomal RNA
Source: RNAcentral